GGAAGGAUUAAAAUAGGGCUGCUCUGCUUGUCCUCGGCUGUUGGAAGUGCUGCUUGCACGGUGAGUCACGCUCUUGGGGCUCUGCUGUGGGAAGCACUGAGCAUGACCACCACCACCCCAUCACCCGGAGACGCUGGACGGGAUGCAAGUGGGAGACACCCAAAACCCUACGAAGAGCUGUGUCCAUGGGAUGGCGGUGGUGGAUGACAGAUGGACUCACCAGCAGACUUCAACUUGCAUCUGCAGCUGAGUGAGUCCAUUCUCCAAGACACGCCACCUUGAGGACUGCUUUUCUUCAUCGUUCUGGAGUCAACCCCAACCUGUUGCAAUUAGUUAAGCGCAGCUCUGUUUCCAAGUGAUCCCUUAAAACCUGGUUGCCUCUGUCAUCCUCAUGCGUAACUACUGCAUUAUUCUUCCACCUGCCCUCACAGUGUUUGCUUUUCAUAAUCAAAGAGAAGCCUUGAAAAGUGUCUCUAUGUAACACUAAAUCUGUAAAAAGAAUGUACCUUAAUAUAACUCAUGGAUAUUUAUAAAAUAAAAAGAGCACGGGGGCAA
Molecule: long non-coding RNA, 555 nt
Organism: Chinchilla lanigera (long-tailed chinchilla)
Lineage: Eukaryota; Metazoa; Chordata; Mammalia; Rodentia; Chinchillidae
Exons: 3
Source: RefSeq, a predicted model, not a curated record